CAAUAGCGUAUAUUAAAGUUGUUGCGGUAAAAAAGCUCGUAGUUGGAUUUCUACCGAAGAUAGCCGGUCGGGUCUUCGACCUUGUAUCUGGUUUUGUCUUUGGUAUCCUCAUAGGGAACGUUUCUGCGCUUUAUUGCGUGGUGCGGUAUCUAUGACUUUUACUUUGAGGAAAUUAGAGUGUUCACGGCAGGCAAACGCCUUGAAUAUAUUAGCAUGGAAUAAUAACAUAGGAUCUUCGUCCUAUUUUGUUGGUCUCUAGGGCUAAGAUAAUGAUUAAUAGGGAUAAUUGGGGGCAUCUGUAUCAACGCGUCAGAGGUGGAAUUCUUGGAUUGCGUUGCGACAAACUACUGCGAAAGCAUUUGCCAAGGAUGUUUUCAUUGA
Molecule: ribosomal RNA, 381 nt
Filed under: uncultured eukaryote
Lineage: Eukaryota
Description: partial 18S ribosomal RNA
Rfam family: Eukaryotic small subunit ribosomal RNA
Source: RNAcentral